UCCGAUUUGUCACCGGCAGUCUCCUAUGAGUCCCCGUCUUUCACGCUGGCUCCCCGAAGGGUCCUUCACCUUUCGGAUCCGUACCACCAGCAUGUCAAGCCCUGGUAAGGUUCUUCGCGUUGCAUCGAAUUAAACCACACGCUCCGCCGCUUGUGCGGGCCCCCGUCAAUUCCUUUGAGUUUUAGCCUUGCGGCCGUACUCCCCAGGCGGGAUGCUUAAAGCGUUAGCUACGGCACAGAGGGGGUCGACACCCCCCACACCUAGCAUCCACCGUUUAGGGCGUGGACUAC
Molecule: unclassified non-coding RNA, 290 nt
Filed under: uncultured Dehalococcoidia bacterium
Lineage: Bacteria; Bacillati; Chloroflexota; Dehalococcoidia
Description: contains 16S-23S intergenic spacer region
Source: RNAcentral